This 300-nucleotide ribosomal RNA is filed under the name uncultured Lactobacillus sp. RNAcentral's name for it is "bacterial SSU rRNA". It matches the Rfam family "Bacterial small subunit ribosomal RNA", at positions 496 to 795 of the family's 1533-position model. The record is from RNAcentral. Lineage: Bacteria; Bacillati; Bacillota; Bacilli; Lactobacillales; Lactobacillaceae.
GAGUAAUACGAGCCAGCAGCCGCUGUAUAACGUAUGUUCCAAGUGUUAUCCGGAUCUAUUUGGCGUAAAGCAAGCGCAGACGGUUAUUUAAGUCUGAAGUGAAAGCCCUCAGCUCAACUGAGGAAUUGCUUUGGAAACUGGAUGACUUGAGUGCAGUAGAGGAAAGUGGAACUCCAUGUGUAGCGGUGAAAUGCGUAGAUAUAUGGAAGAACACCAGUGGCGAAGGCGGCUUUCUGGACUGUAACUGACGUUGAGGCUCGAAAGUGUGGGUAGCAAACAGGAUUAGAUACUCCUGUAGUC